UCUCUCUCUCUCUCUCUCUCUCUCUCACCGUUUUCGAUUCCACCACCAUUGCGCUCGCUCUCUAUUGUCACCGCCGUCGCCGAUUGCUCUCCGUUGUCACCGCCGUCGCCGAUUACUAUCUGUUGUCACCGCUGUCGCCGAUUACUAUCUGUUGUCACCGCCUUCUCCAUUGCCAAAUCAUCUGCAUUGCGUUUCGGUAACGUCACACUCCGAUUUCUGGAUUCACUUUUGGUCUCCAAACACGUGAAAUCCUUCUACGAGUUGUUUGGCUUUGAGAUACGAGGCUUUAGUUAUUCGAGAAAUCAAAUCCUCUAGGUUUCAAUUGCUUCAAGUUUCGCCCGUAGAAUGGUUAAAAUUUGUGGAGGAUGCUGUGCAGAACGGUUUUCAUGCAGAUGCAGACUUGCAGUUAAGGCUUUCUUUGACUUCACUGUCCCUUCUGUUUGAUCUUCCUGAGUUCUCUCACCUUGGCUGGGGCCACUGGUUUACAUUGAGGGACUUAGAACUUGCAACAAACAAGUUUUCAAAAGCGAAUAUUAUUGGUGAAGGGGGAUAUGGAGUUGUUUAUCAAGGCCAGCUGAUCAAUGGGAAUCCAGUGGCUAUUAAGAUGCUACUAAAUAAUCUUGGACAAGCUGAAAAGGAAUUUAGAGUGGAUGUUUAGGCUAUUGGGCAUGUGAGGCACAAGAACUUGGUUAGACUUUUGGGUUUUUACAUUGAAGGCAGUCGUAGGCUGGCUUACUUGCACGAAGGCUCACAAGUCGACAUUGGAGGCUGCCAUUACCGAGUACAUGCAUCAACCAAAACAGAGGGUGAGACUCUUGUCAUGGAAGACAAGACAACUUUUGGAGGUUCGGCUGAUACGUUACAAUCUGGGUUAUUUUAAUGUGUCUAUUUUGUGGUAUGAGAGCAAGGACUUGGGUAGUGUCUAUUAUCAGAUGGUUGAAGGGCAAGAUGGAUCUUGGGUUAGUCUUGUGGAGGAUUGUAUCUGACAUUACUAAGGGAUAGGAAGGUCCUUAAGAAGAUCUUAAAGGAAGGAGAGGGAUAUGAAAGACCAAAUGAUGGAGCUAUGGUUCUAGGUACAGUUUUGCUAAUAAAAGCUUUUAAAGGUUUUUGUACUUUGAUUUCAUUUGUAAAGGUGAGAAUAUUAUGUCUUCAUUUUCAUUAGGUUUUUUAGUUUUGACAAAGUUAGAAGAUAUACUUGAUUACCUAUAUAAUGCUAACAUGU
Trifolium pratense (red clover) is the source of this 1222-nucleotide long non-coding RNA. RefSeq lists it as uncharacterized. The record is from RefSeq and is a predicted model, not a curated record. The transcript is spliced from 9 exons. NCBI's taxonomy places the organism in Eukaryota, Viridiplantae, Streptophyta, Magnoliopsida, Fabales, Fabaceae.